GAAGUGUGGUCCGUAAUUCGUAUCGUAGCUCUCUUCACGCCCCUCUGAGCUCCGUGGAUGGAAAGGUGGACACGGAUAAGAUUCUGGAACCCAAUUAAACCCAGUACCCAGUAAAACCCAGUAAAACCCAGUAAAACCCAGUAAAACCCAGUAGAUGCCCUGCUCCCUGGUACCGCCGGUAAGCAUCACAACAGCGAUAGCCCUAGGGCCACCCCUUCCC
Molecule: long non-coding RNA, 220 nt
Filed under: Volvox carteri
Lineage: Eukaryota; Viridiplantae; Chlorophyta; Chlorophyceae; Chlamydomonadales; Volvocaceae
Description: long non-coding RNA (VCAR_LNC001682)
Source: RNAcentral